Molecule: long non-coding RNA, 440 nt
Filed under: Capsicum annuum
Lineage: Eukaryota; Viridiplantae; Streptophyta; Magnoliopsida; Solanales; Solanaceae
Description: long non-coding RNA (CANN_LNC017094)
Source: RNAcentral
CCAAACCCAUUUCUCAGAUUAAUCGGACAAAUUGAAUACCCAUUUCUCAUAUAAAUCCAAGGUUCGAUUUUUUUUGAGAAGCAGAGAACUAAUCAUCGAAAACCCAAAACCAAACCCAUUUCUCAAAUUAAUGGCGACAUUGAAAACAUAUUUCUUAGGUGAAUCCAAGCUUUAAUUUCUUUUGAGAAGCAGAGAACCAAGCCCUAAACUAGUACAAUGCAGUUGUCUGCUAAUAGCAUGGAACACCAAAAAUCCUUGAAGCCAGUGCAGUUUUCUGGUAACUCCUUUAUUCUCUCAAGACAUAAAUCCAUAAUCUGUCAUUUAUUAGGUAAUACAAAUUGAAAAUUGAAAACCCAUUUCUUAGGUAAUACGAAUUGUAAAUCGAAAACCCAUCUCUCAAAAAAAUUCUUUUUUGAAGAGCUGUGAAGAAAGCACCAAAG